CUCUGCAAUUUGCUCAUGUCCCUGUGAGACAGCACAUUCUGUGUUGGUACAAGGCCACGGAGCCCACAGCUGUGACUAAUCAUAUGGUGUUCCCUGAGGCUCUCCCAGAGAAAUUGAGAAUCUGAGCAGAGGUGGAGAGAAUUUGCAUUUAUGUUUGGCCUCCCACAGUUCCCUGGAAUGCACUUCAAGACUGAGGUUUGCGAAAACAGACUGGAAGGAAAUUUGCUUCUAUGUUAGAAUGGAGAAAGAACAAAAGCCCUAAUGAGUGCCCUAACGUGAAAGGGGAAGUUGCUCUUAUUGCCGCCACAUAGGAAUAGAGGUCUAGUUUUCCCCCUUGGCCACUGUUGAUGCAUUUAGCCUUUUCUGACACUACCUUGGAGCUUGCUCACUUUGAUGAAGAAAGCGAUCAUUCUGAAGCAGUCCAUGUGGCAAAUUUAUGGCAGUUUACAGCCAACCACUGGCAAAGAACUGAAUUCUCUCAGUCAUUCCAUCCACAAAGAAUGCAACGUGGACAACAACCAAUCCUGAGUUGGCUUGGAAGAGGAAUUUGACACAGUUGAACCUAAGAUGAGUAUGGACCUGGCUGAGAAGUUGAUUAUAGGCUAGUGAGAGACCCUGACGCAGAGGACCCAGGAUUUGGAGCGUGCUGCACCCUCAUGAUUGGGAUCAGUGCCUUUACAAGGAGAGGCCGGAGAGCCAGCUCACUCUCGUUCUGCCCUGUGAGGAUUCAACAAGGAGUUGGCAGUCCGCAAACUUGACAAGAGCUCUCCCCAGAACCCAACCACGCUGGCACCCGACUCUCUUCCCAGCCUCCAGAGACUACAAUACUGCACAAUAUGCAAGCACCAACCUAGAGUGGAUCUUUUUAGCAUUAUUUUCUAAACACAAAUGCCCUGAAGAAAUUUGAAGAAGAGAAAUCCUGCCUGUGGGAAUAACUAAGCAGUAUGUGGCAUUUUAAGGGAAAGCAAGAUAGCCCGCGGUAAGCACCUAUACUUAUUAAUGGACAAUGGCUAAAUUACUGGUCAUUUAAUGGGGACCAGAAUAGAGACUUGGGAGCUGUGUGACUAAAAGAUUUGGGGACAGAAUGCAUAAAGGAUAAGUAUAGAGCACUAGAAAUGAACCCAGAGAAUAAGAAAAUUUGUACCCCUUGUGAGUGGUCUUAGAAGAGCCUCAUUUCAGAGGAUGUUUUCUCUAAUCAAGAAAACAAGAUGGUCUUUACUAUAUAUAUCAGACAUUCU
Molecule: long non-coding RNA, 1238 nt
Organism: Zalophus californianus (California sea lion)
Lineage: Eukaryota; Metazoa; Chordata; Mammalia; Carnivora; Otariidae
Exons: 7
Source: RefSeq, a predicted model, not a curated record